RNAcentral lists this long non-coding RNA (909 nucleotides) under Brachypodium distachyon (stiff brome). RNAcentral describes it as "long non-coding RNA (BDIS_LNC000193)". Lineage: Eukaryota; Viridiplantae; Streptophyta; Magnoliopsida; Poales; Poaceae. The record is from RNAcentral.
GCCAACUAUGUCGGCUCAUCCAAUCGAUGUCAUAAUCGCUUCCGACCAACUCGGCGAGACGAACCUAGUCAUGGUUUCGGAUUUCUCAAAUAACUCACGAUUUUAAAAAUCAACUUUCAGUGAACUCUGUUGCCUCAUCCGAUGAACCAUAUAGUCGUUUCCGACCAACUCGGUCACGGUGACGGGAUCACAGGAUGCGUUUUUUUCUCACGGCGAUAGGACGAGAUGCUAUCGAUCUACUGUGAUGCUGAUAGCCGAUCAAGAUUUAUUUUUUGCGAGAAUCAAGAUUAUUAUUUUCUCGUGGAAAAAACAGGUUGCACGGUAAAAUAAAAAUAAAAAUGUCCCUGCUAAUUGACGUUCUACUACUUAUUCCUUCCUUUAGUAUCAAAAGGUACUAAACCUCUACUUUUUUUUUACUCUUUUCUACUUUUUUUUUACUCUUUUCUGCGUUGCUUCUCGGACUCGUGAGUAGGUGUUUUGGCCUACUGUAUUUCCCUAAGAAAAAACUCUUAUCUUCUCUUGGUCGGUCUAGCAGUUUUCGCGUGUGUUUGUACUAAUGGCACUCUAUUUGUUUAAUACAUUGUUAUCCUCAAAAAGUCGUGUAUAAAUUGUGAUGACACGUGUUUUUGCCAACCAUGUCUAGUUUAUGAUGACGGGCCGGCCUGGUCGACGCAGCAUGUUAAUUUAGCUUUCGGCACCAUCCUACGAUUUGACGUUGUAAAGUUGCCCAUCCAGCCAGCAGCAGUAGCGCCAGCUGUGCGGCACAGCAGAGUCAAGGUCACCACUACACAUGUCUUCAAUGUCGGAAACAUGGAGAUGGGUGGUAUCCAUUCUGAAUUCCAAGCAAAAUAAGAACCUGAUUCGUCACCCGGAUGCCGAAUACGUGGAAGAGCACGAGUCAAAUAGGGG